Molecule: ribosomal RNA, 254 nt
Filed under: uncultured bacterium
Lineage: Bacteria
Description: partial 16S ribosomal RNA
Rfam family: Bacterial small subunit ribosomal RNA
Source: RNAcentral
UACGGGGGGGGCAAGCGUUGUUCGGAAUUACUGGGCGUAAAGGGCUCGUAGGUGGCCAACUAAGUCAGACGUGAAAUCCCUCGGCUUAACCGGGGAACUGCGUCUGAUACUGGAUGGCUUGAGUUUGGGAGAGGGAUGCGGAAUUCCAGGUGUAGCGGUGAAAUGCGUAGAUAUCUGGAGGACCACCGGUGGCGAAGGCGGCAUCCUGGACCAACACUGACGCUGAGUGAGCGAAAGCCAGGGGAGCAAACGGG